CCUACGGGAGGCAGCAGUGGGGAAUAUUGGACAAUGGGCGGAAGCCUGAUCCAGCCAUGCCGCGUGUGUGAAGAAGGCCUUUUGGUUGUAAAGCACUUUAAGCGAGGAGGAGGCUACUAGUACUAAUACUACUGGAUAGUGGACGUUACUCGCAGAAUAAGCACCGGCUAACUCUGUGCCAGCAGCCGCGGUAAUACAGAGGGUGCGAGCGUUAAUCGGAUUUACUGGGCGUAAAGCGUGCGUAGGCGGCUUUUUAAGUCGGAUGUGAAAUCCCCGAGCUUAACUUGGGAAUUGCAUUCGAUACUGGGAAGCUAGAGUAUGGGAGAGGAUGGUAGAAUUCCAGGUGUAGCGGUGAAAUGCGUAGAGAUCUGGAGGAAUACCGAUGGCGAAGGCAGCCAUCUGGCCUAAAUACUGACGCUGAGGUACGAAAAGCAUGGGGAGCAAACAGGAUUAGAUACCCUGGUAGUCCAUGCCGUAAACGAUGUCUACUAGCCGUUGGGGCCUUUGAGGCUUUAGUGGCGCAGCUAACGCGAUAAGUAGACCGCCUGGGGAGUACGGUCGCGAAGACUAAAAACUUAAAUGAAUUGACGG
RNAcentral lists this ribosomal RNA (591 nucleotides) under uncultured bacterium. Its description in RNAcentral is "bacterial SSU rRNA". It matches the Rfam family "Bacterial small subunit ribosomal RNA", at positions 338 to 916 of the family's 1533-position model. The record is from RNAcentral.